AAUUCAACCCAUGUCUGAGUGCACAAGUGCAAUAUAUCGCACAAGUCGUGCGCCACUUUUCCUCUCGCGGCUUCCCUAUUACGCUAGUGUCGUCUGGUGGGGAACGGCGACAACUCGUUUUCUGUCAACACCAUUCUGGUAGGCAAAAUGUCAGGCAAAACAGUCUUAAAAAAGAAACUUUAGCUACUGAACGAGUAGAAGUGAAUAAAAGUGCUAGUGAAAAGGACAAUUGUAAAGAAUAAAAGCCAUUUAUAAGUUAUAACUCCUGUUUUCUCGACUAGUGUGUGGUUUAAGAGUAGGUGUCACAAAUAAUAAGUUUAGGAAGCAGUAUGAUGUGCAUUAGUAUGAUGUGGAACAGACAGUUUGCAGGACAAAAUUGGAGAGCUCGAGCAACAACAAGUAAAUCAAAACAGCACAAAAAAGCAGUCUAAGAAAAAAGACGCAGCAGGAGGCUAUAAACUCUCACCGGUUAAGCUCUCCUCUCAGAACAUGAUUGGAUUGAUUGGCCAUUUAAAUGCCGUUUAAAAUCAAUCACUCUUUAUCAAUGAGAAUGGAUUCUACUACGGAUACAUGGUUGCUGGUUUAUGUGUCUGGAUUGAUUUAUCACCAAUAUUGAGCUAGUUGCGUGACGCUCACGGCAGUCUUCGUUUUCAUUACAACACUACAUGAUUGCUGGGAAGGUGAAGGCUUACCAAGAUGUUUUUAGUUCCGUCUUAUGGAAUCCUGAAUAAACUUCGAAAGUUGCGUCUACUAGAUGGGAUGGAUUAAUUAAUUUUUUAGACUAGAAGUACGUCUUAUAACUGUCAUUCUGUGUUAAUCAAUUAACAAGGCUCGUCGCUCGAUUUCACGCGAAUAAUUCAUGAGAAAUACAAAUUUCGUAACACACAAA
RNAcentral lists this long non-coding RNA (889 nucleotides) under Daphnia pulex (common water flea). RNAcentral describes it as "uncharacterized LOC124199811, transcript variant X1". The record is from RNAcentral. Lineage: Eukaryota; Metazoa; Arthropoda; Branchiopoda; Diplostraca; Daphniidae.